This 484-nucleotide ribosomal RNA is filed under the name uncultured bacterium. RNAcentral's name for it is "partial 16S ribosomal RNA". It matches the Rfam family "Bacterial small subunit ribosomal RNA", at positions 30 to 507 of the family's 1533-position model. The record is from RNAcentral.
AUUGAACGCUGGCGGCAGGCCUAACACAUGCAAGUCGAGCGGAUGAAGGGAGCUUGCUCCUGGAUUCAGCGGCGGACGGGUGAGUAAUGCCUAGGAAUCUGCCUGGUAGUGGGGGAUAACGUCCGGAAGCGGGCGCUAAUACCGCAUACGUCCUGAGGGAGAAAGUGGGGGAUCUUCGGACCCCACGCUAUCAGAUGAGCCUAGGUCGGAUUAGCUAGUUGGUGGGGUAAAGGCCUACCAAGGCGACGAUCCGUAACUGGUCUGAGAGGAUGAUCAGUCACACUGGAACUGAGACACGGUCCAGACUCCUACGGGAGGCAGCAGUGGGGAAUAUUGGACAAUGGGCGAAAGCCUGAUCCAGCCAUGCCGCGUGUGUGAAGAAGGUCUUCGGAUUGUAAAGCACUUUAAGUUGGGAGGAAGGGCAGUAAGUUAAUACCUUGCUGUUUUGACGUUACCAACAGAAUAAGCACCGGCUAACUUCGUG